RNAcentral lists this ribosomal RNA (303 nucleotides) under uncultured bacterium. RNAcentral's name for it is "partial 16S ribosomal RNA". It matches the Rfam family "Bacterial small subunit ribosomal RNA", at positions 507 to 808 of the family's 1533-position model. The record is from RNAcentral.
AGCAGUCGCCGCGGUAAUACGUAUGUCACAAGCGUUAUCCGGAUUUAUUGGGCGUAAAGCGCGUCUAGGUGGUUAUGUAAGUCUGAUGUGAAAAUGCAGGGCUCAACUCUAUAUUGCGUCGGAAACUGUGUAACUAGAGUACUGGAGAGGUAAGCGGAACUACAAGUGUAGAGGUGAAAUUCGUAGAUAUUUGUAGGAAUGCCGAUGGGGAAGCCAGCUUACUGGACAGAUACUGACGCUGAGGCGCGAAAGCGUGGGGAGCAAACAGGAUUAGAUACCCCUGUAGUCCCUGUCUCUUAUACA